UCCUCUUUUUAGUCUUGGAUUUUCGUACUACUCACUCUCUUUUCUCUCUCCUGCUGUACUUUGUACGUUACAAUUCUUUGGGGCCAGAAAUCUUGAACAUGGUAACGCACCUGUCUUUUCUCUACUCAUUUUUUGUCUUAAUUUUAUUUCAUUUUACAAUUCUAUUAUUUAUGUAGAUUUUGAUUCGAUUCGAUUCGAUUUGUUUAAAAUCACUAGUAUUCAUGGCUAAUUUAUGUUCUUCCAAUCAGUUUUGGUGAUUUAUUGGUAAUUUUGAUAUGUUCAUCUUUUCGGAUUGUCCGUUUCGAUUGUGUUUUUUUGGCAUAAUUUCGGAUCGGAUGAUGGUAUAGGAAAAGUAAAGUAAAAUGCAGAAGAAGAGAAAAAAAAAAUCCUAUGAUGGCAAUUUGUUGUACCACAUUUUAAACCCAGAGCUGUCCUAGGCUAGGCGGACAUAAAAAUUGGACACGAAUGAAUUUAAAUUUUAUUUAUUUAUAUUUUGAUUCAAUCAUGUAUUUGAAUUUCAGUAUACCUUAUUUGUAUGUAUACAAAUAAGUAAAAUUCAAAUACAUGAUUAGGGGUCAAAAUACAAAUAAACUAAAUUCAAAUACACUCGUGUUCAAUUUUCAUGUCCAGUUAGAGUUUUUGUUAAGUCCAAUAAAAAAAGAAUUAAAAUUGAUAUUUUUACAAGACUCCACUCACAUGAAUAAUUAUUGUGAGAUUUGCGUAUUAGAUUUCUUGGAAUCAGGAUUCUCAAAAAUCAUAUAUGAAAUGUUAAACAUAAAUAAAGUGCACAUUCUUUAAAAUAAAAACUAAGUUUUGGUAGUCUAAAUUAUUUUAAAUCUUGUGUUGAGCCAAAAAGGAUAAUAAUAAUAAUAAUAAUGAAAGUGAAAGUGAAAAUGAAAAUGGAGUAUGAAUUUUAUUUUGUUUUGUAUAUGGUAAGAAUGGAUGGAUUAAUUAAGAUUGAGAGAUACCCUUCUUCUUAAUUAGUACAAUCCCAUUUUGCCAUUUAUGAAUCAUGUGAUCCUAUUAUGGUGUAUGAAUUUUAUUUUGUUUUGUUUUUCACAGACCACGUCGAAGCGCCUUGCCGAGAGGAAGAAUGCCAAGUUUGAGAAGAACAUAAGCAGGAGAGGAUCGGGUGCUGAGAACUCACUGAGGAAAAAACUCACUGUCGAGAACAUUGUUCUUGUGUUCUUCGCCUUGCUUAUCGUCGGAUCAUGUAGGUUUUUACAUUAUUUAUUUACAUCUUUGAUUAUUAGCAUUAUAUAAUCUGGUCCUUACACUUUGACUCUCCUUUUUUUUUAAAAAAAAAAAAUUAAUUCAAUUUGCGAAAUUUUAAAAUUCAAAAAUAAUAUGAACUCGUUUAAGCUUUGAAAAUAAAAAAUAUGGUACUUUUUAGUUUAGUUUAGUUUAUGCUUAAAUAUGAUUUACUAUCCUAAACUAUAGGUCAUAUUUCAUUUCGGUGAUUCACCUUUUAAUUUUGUCAAUUAGAUAAUUAAACUAUUAAUUUUUUUCACUUCAGUCCAAUUUAAGUUGCCACGUCAUAAAUUGAUGACGUGACACGCUGACUAAGCAAACUAAUGCCUAUGUGUAAUUAAAAAAUAUUAUUUUAAUUAUAUUUUCUAAACAUCAAGGGUAAAUAUGUCAAAUCAUAAAUAAUAUAAAUUAUAAAAUCAUAAGAUAUAUAAAAUUAACAUUAAUAAUCAAGCAAAUUACAGGAUAAUUACACAAGUAACUUGACUUUAAAAAUUACACAACAAACAUAAAUUAAACUUAAUAAAUUAACAAUUAAACUAAACUAAACUAAACUAAAAUACAAUUAAACAAAAUAUACAACAAGAUCUGGUAAACCCCAACCCAGUUUCCGGCAAGACCAAUUCAAACAAGGAGCAACAUCCAAAUCCCCCAACACAGGCAAACAUCAAGAUCUGAAAUUAAAACCCCAAUCCAAAAAAUCCAUUUAUUCUAACAGAUCAUAACUUCAAACAGAGAAGAGAUGGUGAGACGUAAAGAGGAAAGGGAGGGGAGAUCAAGUGGAGAUGCCAUCGCCGGAGAAGUCCAAACCAGAUCCAAAACCGCCAUCGCCGGAGAUUCAACAGUGCUGCUUCGGCUAGGGCUCCGGUUGUUAUUUUCGGCGCCAGCGUGUACCGAAGCUUCACCAUGUCCCCUCCUUCAUCUUCAAACAAAACCGAAGCUCCUCCUCCAUCACCAUGUCCCCUCCUUCAUCUUCUCUCCAAAACCACCACCACCAUAACCAACAAUUUCAACCAUCACAACAAAAAACCCUCAUCAAUUUUGUCGUACCUCAUCAGCUCUGAAUCGAAAACCUCCGCCGUCCAUUACCUGCACAUGCCAUGGUUGUCGGUGAAAGAAAGAAAUCAAAGGAUAACAACACAAACCAAUCUGAAUAUGCACACAAUCCAAGAUUUUGAAACUAAUACGAGAUCAGAUCAAAAACAAAAAUCACGGGAAACCAUAUCGGUAAAAGAAACCCAAUCGAAAACUAAACUAAGAAAAUCAGAAAACAAAACAUGAAUCCCCGAUCGGGAAGAAACCUUGAUCAGCCGGACCAAGUCAAGAUCAAAACCCAGAAUCAAAACCACCGGAAUAAUAGGAAACCUCGUUGUCGGAAACCUCCAUUGAGAGCGAUGGACUGGAGGGAGGCUUCGGUUGAGCUAGGGUUUGCGAUUUGGGGCUUUUGUGUUCGAUCGAUCGAUUGUUGAUUAUCUUCAGUUCUUCGCCCAAGUCCGGUUGAUCUAAGUUUUUUCUAUUGAGAAUUGGGGGAGAGAUGUGAUCGACGAAUUUGAUUUUAGAGUGUCUGAUAUGUUUUUUUUAUUUUAAUUAGGGCUUGACAAUUUUGCCCAUGCUGAUAAAAUGAUUAGAUUAUGUAAUGAAUAAUAAAUUAUUUAUUUGCCACGUAAGUUUGUUAAGACUCCACUUCAAUUAGCCACGUCAGCAAUUUCUGACGUGGCGUGUUCAAUUUUUUCAAUUGAAAAAAAUUGAUAGUUUAAACACUUAAUUGACAAAAUUGAAAGGUGGAUCACCGAAGUGAAAUAUGUCCUAUAAUUUAGGAUACUAAUUUAUAUUUAAGCCUUUAGUUUAUAAUAGGUAUAUAGUUCUUUACUAAAAUUAAAUAUAUUCGUAUGGACUCUGAAUUGAAUAUUUUGACCUCAAUGUUAAUCUUGUAUUUCAAGCCCAUAGAUGAUUAGGCUGUUGUAACUUUUAUUGAAUUUGUAAUUUAUUUAAGAAAAUAAUUGCCAGAAUUUCACUCUAUGUUUUUUUUCUUUUUUUUAUUUGGUAGUUGUGUUUCAGAUAAUCAAGCUAGCAAUAAUGGCAGAAUAGAGUGAGGAAGAUGUAUCGGCUGGAUAUGAAGUUUCUGCCCUGGACAGUAGCAUUAUUUAUAUAAAAAAUAAAUGGUACCUUUUGAAUGAUCUACUAAACAUAAUUUUGGUGUUUUGUGUUUUGGCUAGCACUUGUUUCUUUUGUGAACACAAGAUGUAAGCUUUUUAACCAUUUAAUACAUCAUAUUUUAACAUUCUUCUUAAUAUUAUAUUUUUAAAAG
This 3556-nucleotide long non-coding RNA is filed under the name Panax ginseng (ginseng). Its description in RNAcentral is "long non-coding RNA (PGIN_LNC006325)". Lineage: Eukaryota; Viridiplantae; Streptophyta; Magnoliopsida; Apiales; Araliaceae. The record is from RNAcentral.